GUGGGGAAUAUUGGGCAAUGGGGGAAACCCUGACCCAGCAACGCCGCGUGAAGGAAGAAGGCUUUCGGGUUGUAAACUUCUUUUAUGAGGGACGAAGGAUUGACGGUACCUCAUGAAUAAGCCACGGCUAACUACGUGCCAGCAGCCGCGGUAAUACGUAGGUGGCAAGCGUUGUCCGGAUUUACUGGGUGUAAAGGGCGCGUAGGCGGGAGAGCAAGUCAGAUGUGAAAUCCCCAGGCUUAACCUGGGAACUGCAUUUGAAACUGUUGGUCUUGAGUAUCGGAGAGGCAAGCGGAAUUCCUAGUGUAGCGGUGAAAUGCGUAGAUAUUAGGAGGAACACCAGUGGCGAAGGCGGCUUGCUGGACGACAACUGACGCUGAGGCGCGAAAGCGUGGGGAGCAAACAGGAUUAGAAACCCCGGUAGUCC
Molecule: ribosomal RNA, 427 nt
Filed under: uncultured bacterium
Lineage: Bacteria
Description: partial 16S ribosomal RNA
Rfam family: Bacterial small subunit ribosomal RNA
Source: RNAcentral